Molecule: long non-coding RNA, 293 nt
Filed under: Medicago truncatula (barrel medic)
Lineage: Eukaryota; Viridiplantae; Streptophyta; Magnoliopsida; Fabales; Fabaceae
Description: long non-coding RNA (MTRU_LNC006910)
Source: RNAcentral
UCUUGCUUUAGUGCUUGAGCAUUGGAAGUCUCUCGCCUGCGUGCUUGAGAAUUUGGGAAGUCUCAUACUAGAGAGUAUUGAGCAGUUGUAAUCUGUGUGAUUAUUUCUUAGUGGAAAUCUCCUUGGAAGUGCAAGGGGGACUGGACUACUUCCGGUUUGUGGAAGGAACCAGGAUAAUUGCUUGUGUCUCUCUUUCUUUUCUCUGCUCUGUUUUUAUUCCGCUGCAUAUAUGAUUCUGAACAUCACAUCAGAAGCAUUCCCAACCAGCUUCUGAAGUGAUACCAGAAGAAGAA